GAUGAACGCUGGCGGCGUGCCUAAUACAUGCAAGUCGAGCGAACGGACGAGAAGCUUGCUUUUCUGAUGUUAGCGGCGGACGGGUGAGUAACACGUGGAUAACCUACCUAUAAGACUGGGAUAACUUCGGGAAACCGGAGCUAAUACCGGAUAAUAUUUUGAACCGCAUGGUUCAAAAGUGAAAGGCGGUCUUGCUGUCACUUAUAGAUGGAUCCGCGCUGCAUUAGCUAGUUGGUAAGGUAACGGCUUACCAAGGCAACGAUGCAUAGCCGACCUGAGAGGGUGAUCGGCCACACUGGAACUGAGACACGGUCCAGACUCCUACGGGAGGCAGCGGUAGGGAAUCUUCCGCAAUGGGCGAAAGCCUGACGGAGCAACGCCGCGUGAGUGAUGAAGGUCUUCGGAUCGUAAAACUCUGUUAUUAGGGAAGAACAUAUGUGUAAGUAACUGUGCACAUCUUGACGGUACCUAAUCAGAAAGCCACGGCUAACUACGUG
This 497-nucleotide ribosomal RNA is filed under the name uncultured bacterium. RNAcentral's name for it is "partial 16S ribosomal RNA". It matches the Rfam family "Bacterial small subunit ribosomal RNA", at positions 28 to 507 of the family's 1533-position model. The record is from RNAcentral.